CACGUAGGUGGUUGAGUAAGUCAGAUGUGAAAGCCCCGGGCUCAACCAGGGAACUGCAUUUGAAACUGCUUGGCUAGAGUCCGGUAGAGGGGGUGGAAUUCCAGGUGUAGCGGUGAAAUGCGUAGAUAUCUGGAGGAACAUCAGUGGCGAAGGCGGCCCCCUGGAUCGAGACUGACGCUGAGGUGCGAAAGCGUGGGGAGCAAACA
This 206-nucleotide ribosomal RNA is filed under the name uncultured bacterium. RNAcentral describes it as "partial 16S ribosomal RNA". It matches the Rfam family "Bacterial small subunit ribosomal RNA", at positions 568 to 774 of the family's 1533-position model. The record is from RNAcentral.